AAGUCGUAACAAGGUUUCCGUAGGUGAACCUGCGGAAGGAUCAUUAUUGAAUUCUUUUUGAUGUGAGAAGGAUUGGGGGUUGGUUUGACGAAUUUGUUGAGCUGCCUUUGGUGUUUUCUUGCAAUCACAAUAUCCGUGAACUUGUUAAUUUGAAAAAAUGACUUUGCUUGGUGGGAACUUUGCUUAGGUAAAGCCCGCCAUCAGUCUAUUUUAUCAACAUCAUUUUUUAUUUAUUACGUCUGAAACAUAUAAAACAAACCAAAAGUUAAAACUUUCAACAACGGAUCUCUUGGUUCUC
This 298-nucleotide unclassified non-coding RNA is filed under the name fungal sp. Its description in RNAcentral is "partial internal transcribed spacer region". The stretch from base 1 to 46 matches the Rfam family "Eukaryotic small subunit ribosomal RNA", at positions 1786 to 1831 of the family's 1831-position model. Lineage: Eukaryota; Fungi. The record is from RNAcentral.